GUCGGUAAAAGGUUUGCCUAAUUUUAACAAAAGUUCAAACUAAAAGUAUGUGAGAGUUUGUCAGGGGACCAUCAGGUGGCAGCAUUGUCUUUCUAGCAGUUUUAAAAAGAAUGUGUGCGUAAUUAUUUAAUUAAUGUGGAGGCAUUUGUCAUUCCCUGCUAGAAAAUAUGAAUGGUCCCGAAGUCAACUGAAUACACCGAACAGCCAACUACACACCUUAGAAAACAAUGAGAAAGUGUUUUGAUGUCUGUUUAUGUAGUGAUUUUUGGUACGGUUAUAUAGUGCAGCCGAAAUAGCUCAGUUGGGAGAGCGUUAGACUGAAGAUCUAAAGGUCCCUGGUUCGAUCCCGGGUUUCGGCAGGUGUUGUUUUUGCGAGAGUUGUAAAUCUAAAUUUGGCCUGAAAAACGGAGACUUGAAGGUUUGAAUCCCAGGAUCAAAGGGAAGUGAUUGUAGUGAGAUUAUCGUUUGGACAAAGAUCGUCUUCUCCUCAACUCCUCCAUCUGAGGCGAGAGAGGACCCAGAAAAGAGGACGCAGGACUGAGCAAAUGUUUAUCGAAGGAAGAAUGAUUACUGGGUAACUCUGUUGACAUUAACCAAAUUGGAACUAAGGGAACCAUGAAGAGGAGCUUGGAGUGGGCAAGGAGGAGGCUGAUAAAGCAGCAGAGAAGACCUGAUUCAUCGAGUAUCAAUUCAUUCUGGUGAUUCUUACCUGGUUGGCAUGCAUGCACAACACAAGACACUUCAAUCUGACACUCUUGUUAAUGUUUGACGUCAGGCAAAAUGUCUUCAGCCACUUUCGGACGGAGAGCAGCUGGUUGGCAUGUGACUGCAGUGUCUGUGGGUGUACCAGGAAAGGACGUUAGAAGUUAGGGCCCCAUGAUAUCGAAGCUUCUUACCGUCUCCACUGCAGCCCAGUCGAUAUCGAUAAAAAAAAACUGGAACAAUAGAUUGUGUAGCACAAUGUACAACUCCAGUUUGCCUAUUGUCCCAACAAAUGUCAAUUAUACAUUUUUACAUACGUCAGAGUGCAGUUUAUUUUAUAGCUCUGCUUUCAACGCCAUCCUUACCCACAAACUGGUUAGCAGACUCAGGGCUCUGG
This is a long non-coding RNA of Salvelinus fontinalis (brook trout), 1099 nucleotides long. RefSeq lists it as uncharacterized. NCBI's taxonomy places the organism in Eukaryota, Metazoa, Chordata, Actinopteri, Salmoniformes, Salmonidae. The record is from RefSeq and is a predicted model, not a curated record. The transcript is spliced from 4 exons.